This 1078-nucleotide long non-coding RNA is filed under the name Castor canadensis (American beaver). Its description in RNAcentral is "lncRNA (ENSCCNG00000025541.1)". Lineage: Eukaryota; Metazoa; Chordata; Mammalia; Rodentia; Castoridae. The record is from RNAcentral.
CCCUCAAAUUCAGGAUCUGAAUUGUCCCAAAGAACUACAAGUGCGCCCCGAACUGCCCCAGGUCUAAAGUCCCCGCUUCUACAGAGCACCCAUCUCUUCCUGUCCCUCGCACCCCAAAACCCGAGAUCUGAGACCUGGCGCCCGUCGAGGCCGCCCCGCCCCCGGGAGGAGCGCGGGAUCCGCCCGCACCUCCGCGGAGAGCAGGCAGCGCUGGAACUCAGAGCAGGGGCGCCCGCGUAAAUUACGCAGAGGGGCACAGACCCCGCUUCCGCGCCCCCCGCCACGCCGCUCUGGCCCGCAUAGCCUGGAGGGAUUAAGGCUCUUCCCAACAGCUCAGACCCGAGUCCCCUCCUAGGACCGCAGGGGACCCAUCCCCACACCUUCCUGUCAGGGAGGCGGGGUGCCCAGACCCCCACCUCCUUCUGCGGCCUCGGAGACCCAGAUCUGCACCGCUCCUCAGGCCGCCGGAGACCCCGAUCUGCGCGCCUUCCUCGGGCCUCCGGGGUGACCCGACCCGCGUCCCCUUCUCAGGCCAGCGAGGACGCACACCAAUUUCUCUAGCCUCCAGAAGGCGAACUGGCUCACAUCUCCUGCUCGGGCCAAGGCCACUGAGAAGCACUGGGACCCGCGCCUCUUCCCCAGGCCGCGGGGACCCAGACCUGGCGCGCCAUCGCCUCCACCCGGGCAGCCCGGCCGGCGCCCCCUCCCCAGGCCGCGGGGAAACGCAGCCCGCGCGCCCGCACCCUCCCCGGCUGCCCGCGGGCCCAGCCCCUCACUCACCCAGAGCUCGAUGCCCCAGCUCAUGGUGCAGGGGGCGGGAAGGGGCGCUCCGCGCGGCGGGCGCGGCUCUCCAGUCCCCUCCCCGGCGAUCGCUUCGCCCCUUGAGACCCCCGCGACUGCGGAAAGCCCGGUGUCCGAGCGGCCGCCUCCUCGUCCGGCUCGCAGCUCCUAGCCCCGAGUCUCCGCGGCGGCUUCUCCUCUCUCCGUCGCUCCACAGCAAAAUGGCCCGAGGAAGCAGCAGCAGCCGCCGCAGCGCCCGCCCGCCCCACACCGGAGAGCGAGGGGAGGGGGAGGGGCG